Molecule: small nuclear RNA, 102 nt
Filed under: Amborella trichopoda
Lineage: Eukaryota; Viridiplantae; Streptophyta; Magnoliopsida; Amborellales; Amborellaceae
Source: RNAcentral
AUGACAUUGUUUUUUCUGAUAAAUUUGAAAGGAUUAAGAGAAGACGAGUACCGCCUCGGUGCAAGGGUGACACACAUAAAUCGAAAAAUAGUCCAAACUUUU